This 465-nucleotide ribosomal RNA is filed under the name Vreelandella stevensii. Its description in RNAcentral is "partial 16S ribosomal RNA". It matches the Rfam family "Bacterial small subunit ribosomal RNA", at positions 338 to 795 of the family's 1533-position model. Lineage: Bacteria; Pseudomonadati; Pseudomonadota; Gammaproteobacteria; Oceanospirillales; Halomonadaceae. The record is from RNAcentral.
CCUACGGGGGGCUUCAGUGGGGAAUAUUGGACAAUGGGGGGAACCCUGAUCCAGCCAUGCCGCGUGUGUGAAGAAGGCCCUCGGGUUGUAAAGCACUUUCAGUGAGGAAGAACGCCUGGUGGUUAAUACCCAUCAGGAAAGACAUCACUCACAGAAGAAGCACCGGCUAACUCCGUGCCAGCAGCCGCGGUAAUACGGAGGGUGCGAGCGUUAAUCGGAAUUACUGGGCGUAAAGCGCGCGUAGGUGGCUUGAUAAGCCGGUUGUGAAAGCCCCGGGCUCAACCUGGGAACGGCAUCCGGAACUGUCAAGCUAGAGUGCAGGAGAGGAAGGUAGAAUUCCCGGUGUAGCGGUGAAAUGCGUAGAGAUCGGGAGGAAUACCAGUGGCGAAGGCGGCCUUCUGGACUGACACUGACACUGAGGUGCGAAAGCGUGGGUAGCAAACAGGAUUAGAUACCCCAGUAGUC